This 425-nucleotide ribosomal RNA is filed under the name uncultured bacterium. Its description in RNAcentral is "bacterial SSU rRNA". It matches the Rfam family "Bacterial small subunit ribosomal RNA", at positions 354 to 796 of the family's 1533-position model. The record is from RNAcentral.
GUGGGGAAUAUUGCACAAUGGAGGAAACUCUGAUGCAGCGACGCCGCGUGAGCGAUGAAGUAUUUCGGUAUGUAAAGCUCUAUCAGCAGGGAAGAUAAUGACGGUACCUGAGUAAGAAGCUCCGGCUAAAUACGUGCCAGCAGCCGCGGUAAUACGUAUGGAGCAAGCGUUAUCCGGAUUUACUGGGUGUAAAGGGAGUGUAGGCGGCUUUGCAAGUCAGAUGUGAAAGCCCGGGGCUCAACCCCGGGACUGCAUUUGAAACUGUGAAGCUGGAGUGUCGGAGAGGUAAGUGGAAUUCCUAGUGUAGCGGUGAAAUGCGUAGAUAUUAGGAAGAACACCAGUGGCGAAGGCGGCUUACUGGACGAUUACUGACGCUGAGGCUCGAAAGCGUGGGGAGCAAACAGGAUUAGAUACCCUAGUAGUCC